This 747-nucleotide ribosomal RNA is filed under the name Exiguobacterium sp. BAB-5573. RNAcentral describes it as "bacterial SSU rRNA". It matches the Rfam family "Bacterial small subunit ribosomal RNA", at positions 35 to 752 of the family's 1533-position model. The record is from RNAcentral. Lineage: Bacteria; Bacillati; Bacillota; Bacilli; Caryophanales.
GCUGGCGGCGUGCCUAAUACAUGCAAGUCGAGCGCAGGAAGCCGUUCCGAACCCUUCGGGGGGAMGACGGUGGAAUGAGCGGCGGACGGGUGAGUAACACGUAAAGAACCUGCCCAUAGGUCUGGGAUAACCACGAGAAAUCGGGGCUAAUACCGGAUGUGUCAUCGGACCGCAUGGUCCGCUGAUGAAAGGCGCUYCGGCGUCGCCCAUGGAUGGCUUUGCGGUGCAUUAGCUAGUUGGUGGGGUAAUGGCCCACCAAGGCGACGAUGCAUAGCCGACCUGAGAGGGUGAUCGGCCACACUGGGACUGAGACACGGCCCAGACUCCUACGGGAGGCAGCAGUAGGGAAUCUUCCACAAUGGACGAAAGUCUGAUGGAGCAACGCCGCGUGAACGAUGAAGGUUUUCGGAUCGUAAAGUUCUGUUGUAAGGGAAGAAMAAGUGCCGCAGGCAAUGGCGGCACCUUGACGGUACCUUGCGAGAAAGCCACGGCUAACUACGUGCCAGCAGCCGCGGUAAUACGUAGGUGGCAAGCGUUGUCCGGAAUUAUUGGGCGUAAAGCGCGCGCAGGCGGCCUCUUAAGUCUGAUGUGAAAGCCCCCGGCUCAACCGGGGAGGGCCAUUGGAAACUGGGAGGCUUGAGUAUAGGAGAGAAGAGUGGAAUUCCACGUGUAGCGGUGAAAUGCGUAGAGAUGUGGAGGAACACCAGUGGCGAAGGCGACUCUUUGGCCUAUAACUGACGCUGAGGC